CCUACGGGGGGCACCAGUGGGGAAUCUUGGGCAAUGGGCGCAAGCCUGACCCAGCAACGCCGCGUGAAUGAAGAAGGCUUUCGAGUCGUAAAAUUCUGUCCUCAGGGAAGAAGAAGUGACGGUACCUGAGGAGGAAGCCCCGGCUAACUACGUGCCAGCAGCCGCGGUAAUACGUAGGUGGCAAGCGUUGUCCGGAUUUACUGGGUGUAAAGGGCGCGCAGGCGGAUAUUUAAGUCAGCUGUUAAAGUCAUGGGCUCAACUCAUGGAUGCGGUUGAAACUGGGUAUCUAGAGUGCUGGAGAGGCAGGCGGAAUUCCUAGUGUAGCGGUGAAAUGCGUAGAUAUUAGGAGGAACACCAGUGGCGAAGGCGGCCUGCUGGACAUCAACUGACGCUGAUGCGCGAAAGCGCGGGGAGCAAACAGGAUUAGAUACCCUGGUAGU
RNAcentral lists this ribosomal RNA (440 nucleotides) under uncultured bacterium. RNAcentral describes it as "bacterial SSU rRNA". It matches the Rfam family "Bacterial small subunit ribosomal RNA", at positions 338 to 794 of the family's 1533-position model. The record is from RNAcentral.